This is a long non-coding RNA of Tympanuchus pallidicinctus (lesser prairie-chicken), 694 nucleotides long. RefSeq lists it as uncharacterized. The transcript is spliced from 6 exons. Lineage: Eukaryota; Metazoa; Chordata; Aves; Galliformes; Phasianidae. The record is from RefSeq and is a predicted model, not a curated record.
GUGCCUGAGGCCUUCUGAAGAGUGAUGCCAGGCACUGUUCUGCUGCACUUCUCCUCUAGCAGUCUCUGCUUGGGACUUAAACUAGUACAGUUCGAAUUACCUGAAUUAUACCACCAGAUUCCUGGGAACACAGGCAUUGACCCAUCUGAAGAAAACCUCAGAACAGCAACAGUUAAAUAAACUAACUUUUCCUGCUGGCUGUACAGGCACUGAGUAUGUUCUGUGGUAAGGAUUCAAGUUUGUCUUCAGGGAUCUGUUGUCUGGUCACCCAGAAUCAAAGGUGCUUUGAAUGAGUUAGAGUAACAGUUUCCCUUUGACCUCCUUGGGUAAUAACACUGCAUAAGAACACACUGCUUGUGCUCUGCUUUACCUGGGCUGUCUGGUAAACCUCACUGGCAUGGUGGCAACACUGGGGAAACUUGUGGCUCCCCUCUUGGAGUGUUUAGAUUCAGUACAAUUUUCCGAGAUGUCUCUGUAAGACUUCCUGUAACAGCUUCCAGUUAGGAGUUGACUGUCUGGGACAACCUCAGAAUUGCACAGCAAUGUUUCUGUGGUCACACAGCUUCUGUCAGGCAAGUAUCUUCUGAAGAGCCAUACAUCCCUGGGUAGCUGUCCUAAUUUUGAUGAGAUUACCUGUACAGAAAGAGACUUACAAUAACUGCUUGGAACAUUCCUUUCUCUUUACCCUUUCCAU